GAUCCUGGCUCAGGAUGAACGCUAGCUACAGGCUUAACACAUGCAAGUCGAGGGGCAGCAUGUUGGUUUGCUUGCAACCAACGAUGGCGACCGGCGCACGGGUGAGUAACGCGUAUCCAACCUUCCGCAUACUCGGGAAUAGCCUUUCGAAAGAAAGAUUAAUGCCCGAUGGUUUCCCGAAUCCGCAUGAGCGCGGGAAUAAAGAUUCAUCGGUAUGCGAUGGGGAUGCGUCCCAUUAG
Molecule: ribosomal RNA, 239 nt
Filed under: uncultured bacterium
Lineage: Bacteria
Description: partial 16S ribosomal RNA
Rfam family: Bacterial small subunit ribosomal RNA
Source: RNAcentral